This 823-nucleotide long non-coding RNA is filed under the name Suricata suricatta (meerkat). Its description in RNAcentral is "lncRNA (ENSSSUG00005014594.1)". The record is from RNAcentral. Lineage: Eukaryota; Metazoa; Chordata; Mammalia; Carnivora; Herpestidae.
GCUCAGGUGGUUAAGUGUCGAACUUCAGCUCAGGUCAUGAUCUCACGGUUUAUGAGUUCAAGCCCUCAUUGGGCUCUGGGCUGAAAGCUCAAAGCCUGAAGCCUGCUUCAGAUUCUGUCUCCUUCUCUCUGCCCUCCCCAACUCGUGCUGUCUCUUAAAAAUGAAUGUUUAAAAAAUGUUUAAUAAAUAAAAUUAAAAUUAAAUUAGGUCUCUAACUCCAAAGACAUAACAAAGUGUAGCAGCACCACUACAAAUAUAGGGUGCAAACACCCAUAUUUAAUAAAAAUUUCAAGAGAAAAAGAUCAGUUUUCAAUUAACUAAGCAGCCAUCUAUAUUUUCCACCAGGAAGUGUUGUCAGCGUUUGAAAAGAAGGUGCACACAAAGAAUUCUGUCUUCAUCAACAUCAGUGACUGGGGCCAUUCAUCAGUUCUGACACCCCAAAAAAGGCAAGGAGGAAAGAAGAGAGGGGUGGAGGGGGGAAUUUUUUUUAAAAAGGAAACAAGGAAAACCAUCUGGAUCUAGGGCCAUAGUCCUCUGCCUGGCUGGGCUAUUUACAGAAGUUAAUUUGAUUUUCCCCUAGCAAUGAAAGAUAUAUAGGAUCCCUAUAGAUUGUGGAGUUCAACAAAUCAGAAAGAGAGGGAACAAAAUCCCGUAUUUCCAGGGACUAAACAGCCAAUCCUUUGCUGGGAUUUGGUGGCAUCUAGUGGUGGACUCAAGAGGUAUAAAACUCAUGAGAACUUUCUGGAAAAUUAACAGAGCAUACUUGCCUGAAGGGCACUGUGCUUGGAGAGCAGGACAAAAAGGCCAUCAUCAGAAAAGCUAA